GUGGGGAAUCUUGCGCAAUGGGCGAAAGCCUGACGCAGCCAUGCCGCGUGAAUGAUGAAGGUCUUAGGAUUGUAAAAUUCUUUCACCGGGGACGAUAAUGACGGUACCCGGAGAAGAAGCUCCGGCUAACUUCGUGCCAGCAGCCGCGGUAAUACGAAGGGGGCUAGCGUUGCUCGGAAUUACUGGGCGUAAAGGGCGCGUAGGCGGACAGCUUAGUCAGAGGUGAAAGCCCAGGGCUCAACCUUGGAAUUGCCUUUGAUACUGGCUGUCUUGAGUUUGGGAGAGGUGAGUGGAACUCCGAGUGUAGAGGUGAAAUUCGUAGAUAUUGGAAGGAACACCAGUGGCGUAAGCGGCUAUCUGGACGAGUAUUGACGCUGAGGCACGAAAGCGUGGGGAUCAAACAGGAUUAGAAACCCCAGUAGUCC
RNAcentral lists this ribosomal RNA (425 nucleotides) under uncultured bacterium. RNAcentral's name for it is "partial 16S ribosomal RNA". It matches the Rfam family "Bacterial small subunit ribosomal RNA", at positions 354 to 796 of the family's 1533-position model. The record is from RNAcentral.